CUUGCCAAAUCAACACACCUGGAUGGGCGGGACACAAAGCUGAGCUCUUGCCCCUCUAGGUGGGUCAGGCCAAGUCGCAGUUGUGCCUGAGAACGGAAAAGUGAAACAGGCCACGUGGCCACCAGAGCUAUGAUGCAAGGAACGGAAAGCGAGUGAAAAUGGCAGUCUGGAAUAACUCUAAAGAAAAGCACUAGUAACAGCCAUGAGUCCGUGACCACCCAGUAGUGGAAAGCAGGGGGGAGGGAUUGUUUCCUCAUUCAUCCCUGGCACUACUGCAGUCUUUCUCAGCAAACAGAAAUACCAGCUGAAGCACAAACAAAAGCUGAGAAAUCAGAGGCCCCAAAUGGAUAAUCUCAUAGAUUAUUCCAUGAUUAAUUAUCCCAGUUUUAUCAAAUGCCACAUCCAAAUAAGGUCAAACACAAAAUUGUAAUCUUCAAGACACGCAACCACCCCUUUGCACGAGCCUUGAUUUCUAUCACAGGAAGUUUAAACUGACUUCUAUUAAUAACAAUAGAAAAAAGAAGUAAUGUUGAUACAUUCUGAACUAUGUACUCAACAUGUCAAGGAGAUCAUUAGUGACUGACACCAAUGAUGUGCCAUAGACAACAAGAUGUCUUUUUUGUGCCUGUCCUUUCCUGACAUUCCUGUCGCAUCCUAUUCAGCAACCUCAUGCAGUGAUCCUCUUGUACUUUGGAUCAAAAAAUUUCCACAUUAGUGGUUUAUGCAUGUCGCCAUUUUGUUCUGUUGUGGUUUUUUGUUCAUUUAUUUUUACAGUUAGUUUUGUUUGUAUUUUAAUCGCUUGAAUUAAAAAGGUUAUUAAUAGCAGAACAGUCAGCAUUGCAAUAUACAUAUGUAUCUUUGUACCUGGAUGAAUAUCAUAUUUUUAAUAGGUUAUAAGCCCUAAAUUCCAGAGAGAGACUCACAAAUUCACUUAAUUUCCCUGAUUUCACAUGUAGGUCUCCACAUUAGCUAAAAAUGUGUAAAACCACAUGGAAGUAGUUCCUAUUUAGUACAUAGCUGAGGAGGCACACGGCUCUUUUUUCUUUUACCAUAUGGCUGAAGUAACUUGCACACAAGCAAUUUGUUCUGAUUCAGCUGUUUCAGCAGGAAGGAUUUGCAGAAGCAGGAUUGGGAAAUACACAGGAUUCUAUUUCACUUCUGUGACAAGAGUUAUAUUUUUAAUUAGCCCCUGCUAGUCUUCCGGGUGCAGCUUGUAAGUUUAAUUCUCUAUCUCAGGUCUGAGUCCCAUCUGAUAGUGCCAUUUUUAUUUGUAUUUAGGGAUCAGUUCUAAAAGUGUUUUCAGAAAAGGCAGUUCCUUGGCAAAUUCUGUUGAAGAAAAUUAAGAGUUUUGGAUUUUCUUUUUUCCCAGUAGACUUGACUUACAAGAAGCUUAUUAAA
Columba livia (rock pigeon) is the source of this 1398-nucleotide long non-coding RNA. RefSeq lists it as uncharacterized. Lineage: Eukaryota; Metazoa; Chordata; Aves; Columbiformes; Columbidae. The record is from RefSeq and is a predicted model, not a curated record. The transcript has 3 exons.